This 497-nucleotide ribosomal RNA is filed under the name uncultured bacterium. RNAcentral describes it as "partial 16S ribosomal RNA". It matches the Rfam family "Bacterial small subunit ribosomal RNA", at positions 28 to 507 of the family's 1533-position model. The record is from RNAcentral.
GAUGAACGCUGGCGGCGUGCCUAAUACAUGCAAGUCGAGCGAACAGGCGAUGAUCUUGCGCCUUUGACGUUAGCGGCAGGCGUGUGAGUAACACGUGUAUAACCUACCUAUAUUACUGAUAUAACUUCGGAAAAGCGGAUCUUAUACCAGAUAAGCUAUUGCACCGCAGUGGUCGUUGGUAAAAGACGGUUUUGCUGUCACUUAUAGAUGGAUCCGCGCUGCAUUAGAUAGUUGUUAAGGUAACGGCCUACCAAGGCGACGAUGCGUAUACGAACUGAGAGGGGGAUCGGCGACACUGGAACUGAGACAGCGACAAGACGACUGAGGGAGGCAGCAGUAGGCAAUAUUACGCAAUGGGCGAAAGCCUGACGGAGCAACGGGGAGUGAGUGAUGAAGGCCUUCGGAUCGUAAAGAUCUGUUAUGAGGGAAGAACCACUGUGUAAGGAAACAUGGAGGUAUUGACGGUACUUAAUAAAAAAGCACCGGCUAACUACGUG